This 478-nucleotide ribosomal RNA is filed under the name uncultured bacterium. RNAcentral describes it as "partial 16S ribosomal RNA". It matches the Rfam family "Bacterial small subunit ribosomal RNA", at positions 28 to 507 of the family's 1533-position model. The record is from RNAcentral.
GAUGAACGCUGGCGGCGUGCUUAACACAUGCAAGUCGAACGAGAAGUGAAGACGGAAACCUUCGGGCGGAAGGCUUUAUUUCGAGUGGCGGACGGGUGAGUAACGCGUGGGUAACCUGCCUCAUACAGGGGGAUAACAGUUGGAAACGACUGUUAAUACCGCAUAAGACCACAGCACCGCAUGGUGCGGGGGUAAAAACUCCGGUGGUAUGAGAUGGACCCGCGUUCGAUUAGCCAGUUGGCGGGGUAACGGCCCACCAAAGCGACGAUCGAUAGCCGAUCUGAGAGGAUGACCGGCCACAUUGGGACUGAGACACGGCCCAAACUCCUACGGGAGGCAGCAGUGGGGAAUAUUGCACAAUGGGGGAAACCCUGAUGCAGCGACGCCGCGUGAGUGAAGAAGUAUUUCGGUAUGUAAAGCUCUAUCAGCAGGGAAGAAAAUGACGGUACCUGAGUAAGAAGCCUCGGCUAACUACGUG